GAGGAAGUAAANGUNGUAACAAGGUUUCCGUAGGUGAACCUGCGGAAGGAUCAUUA
Molecule: ribosomal RNA, 56 nt
Filed under: Hemileucoglossum pusillum
Lineage: Eukaryota; Fungi; Ascomycota; Geoglossomycetes; Geoglossales; Geoglossaceae
Description: partial 18S ribosomal RNA
Rfam family: Eukaryotic small subunit ribosomal RNA
Source: RNAcentral